AUUUAUAUAAUAUAACCAACAUUAUAUUUGAUUUCCAAUCAGAAAAUCUAAAUCUAGUAUAAAUA
This 65-nucleotide transfer RNA is filed under the name Otiorhynchus rugosostriatus. RNAcentral describes it as "tRNA-Gly". Lineage: Eukaryota; Metazoa; Arthropoda; Insecta; Coleoptera; Curculionidae. The record is from RNAcentral.